This is a long non-coding RNA of Hevea brasiliensis (rubber tree), 2348 nucleotides long. RefSeq lists it as uncharacterized. The transcript has 3 exons. Lineage: Eukaryota; Viridiplantae; Streptophyta; Magnoliopsida; Malpighiales; Euphorbiaceae. The record is from RefSeq and is a predicted model, not a curated record.
UAUUUUUCAUUUUUUUCUUCUGCAUUUCAUUUUUCUCUGUGCGUGAUUUUGACAUGUGUUGCUAUCGAUUGGUUCGGUCCUUCCAAAAAUGGGCAUUUGCAUCUUCCUAGGCUAGCAUUUCGCUUCCCUCUCGCUCAAUCGCAUAUGACCUUAAAACAGUGUGUUUUAACCACACAAGGAAACUAUAAAAAUCUCUACAGUCGUUGAUUGGUAGGUAGGCAGGCUAUAGAAUUUGUAUAGGAGGUUGAGCUCUUUGUUUCAUUCACUCAUACUGUUCGAAGAAAAUCCUGUGAGGACCUGGGAAGGGUUACUUUUUGUUUUACUUUCAGUGGGUAUCACUGGAAUUUACUGGUAUGUUGCUUUGAUGUGUGUUGCAGGGUUCAGCGCUGUCUAAACAGCCUGGGGAAGGGAUAUAGUUGACUUGUGAGAUGUGGGAAGUCUAGGAUACAAUUUCAAUCCCUUCUUACUCAUUGAUAUCCCCAGAUGAAGCCAACACAAACCAUGAAGGUGCAAUACUUUCAUUGUUAUCAUAAGUAAGGUAAAUGUCCUUGUUAUUUAAUAUAAAGCUGAAAUUGUACCUAUCUGAAGAACUUUAGAAUAUAAAUCUGAAACAUUGGCCAUCCUAAAGCCCAAUCUCUCAGUUAUCGCUUGGUUGCCACAGAUUGAUCUGUGACUUGUUUACAGGAUCUAUGCCAAAAGCAAAUAAACCACUACUUGGCAAAGAUGGGCUUAACCAUGAACAAGAGAACUUUUUCCUUAUUUGAUUUGUAUCCAUAUCAAACCAUCCUAAUUCCAUUCCAGGGAAAAAUGUAUCAGUUGGAAAAUCACAACUCUGCCAAACAAUUAUUUCUUCCUGAAUGAGAAUUAGAUUUUCUGAUUCAAGAAGUCUUACGCUAGUAUUACUUGGUCUAGUUGUGUUACUCCUUUUGCAAUUCAGCAAGGUGACAACAGCUAUGCUUUUAUUUGUGUUGUCCGGUCCAUUAAAAGCUUUAACAUAUCUGUUAACGCAUGGUAUAGUUGGUUUCAUGAUGGGCUUUAUAUGGAGGUAAUUAAUACGAACCUUGCAAGUUCUUAUUGUAUGAUAUUUUCUUCUUUUUGCGCAUUAUUCAGUGACUAUGAUUUUUAUGUUAUGAACAGGUAAUUGUUAGUAAUACAUCAUAAAUAUCAAAUUUUCCUCUUUAGUUCUGAUCUAUUGUUGAUUUUAAAUAAUUUGUCAUAAUUUCAUCCCCUUUAAUUGGCUUUGGUUUCACCGACUCGUAUGUCAAUUUGUACUUCUUUGAAAUAAGUAUCUUUCAAAAUCUUACUAGCAUCUGAACUAGAUAAAUGUGCUAGAAGUUUUAUUAUUGAGUAGAGCCAAGUGAUUCACAUGAGUUUAAUAAGAGGCUUUUUCAGUAUGCUACUCUCCAUGAGCUUUCAGUUACCCUUUUGAAAUGCUUACUGCGCUUCAAAUUUUAAAUACCUUAUCUAGCCAAUAUACUCAAGUUAGUGCUCAGUUAUUCAAUUACCAUUCAACUUGCAUCACUACAACCACAAGUUCCUCUACUAAUUACUUUUUUGUUAUUAUUUUUAACUUUUCAACCUUAUCCAUGUAUUGGAAGUUAUAUGUUGUUAUAGUGAAAAAUGCUGAUGCACUCAGAAUUGAACUCUUACUAAUGUAAAUGUGUGUGUGUGUGUGUAUAUAUAUAUAUAUUCACUUGUAUUUUUAAUUCCUUUGAACAUGUCUUGUUAAGAUAGUUUUAUUUCAAAAUUUUUUACCUGCGACACACGAAAAUGGAGAACAUGAGCUAGGCUUUAAAGUACAAAAACAGCAAUGGUUGGAGUGUUUCAGUUUCGGAACAUUUUCAACAUGGAAACACUAGGAGACGGCCAGGAUUUAUAUGACAAUUUUAUUUGUUGAAUGAUAUUUCUCUUUACUUUUAUUUAUUCUUGAUUGUCUUCCUUUAUUGUGAAUGAUUACAUUAUCCUAUGGGCAGUAUUAAACUUGUGUAUUGGGGCUGCAUGAAUUCAUGAAUUGCUUCUUAUUUAGUUAUAGCUUGUUGUUUCUAUUGUUUAUAAAGGUUCUCCUAAGAGGUCCAAAGAAUGCUCGUGAAACUAUGAAAAACAUUGGCCCAGCUUUUGGUGUGCCACACAGCCAUUCCAAACCACAUGUGCGAUCAAAGGGAAGGAAGUUUGAGAGAGUUAGAGGGACAAGGAAUAGCAAAGGAUUUAGAGUUUGAGUUGUUUUUAGUUCCAAAAUGUCAGUCAAUUAUUUUAUUUUUGAUUAUUAUGUCCCAAAUUUUGUUAGACUCUAGGUUCCAAUGGAACUUGUUUAUGUUAUUAUUAAUUCCUAGCUUGAACUUUUUAUGUUA